RNAcentral lists this ribosomal RNA (491 nucleotides) under uncultured bacterium. Its description in RNAcentral is "partial 16S ribosomal RNA". It matches the Rfam family "Bacterial small subunit ribosomal RNA", at positions 29 to 507 of the family's 1533-position model. The record is from RNAcentral.
GUGAACGCUGGCGGUAGGCCUAACCCGUGCACGUCGAACGGCAGCACCGUAAGAGCUUGCUCUUACGGGUGGCGAGUGGCGGACGGGUGAGGAAUACAUCGGAAUCUACUUUUUCGUGGGGGAUAACGUAGGGAAACUUACGCUAAUACCGCAUACGACCUACGGGUGAAAGCAGGGGAUCUUCGGACCUUGCGCGAUUGAAUGAGCCGAUGUCGGAUUAGCUAGUUGGCGGGGUAAAGGCCCACCAAGGCGACGAUCCGUAGCUGGUCUGAGAGGAUGAUCAGCCACACUGGAACUGAGACACGGUCCAGACUCCUACGGGAGGCAGCAGUGGGGAAUAUUGGACAAUGGGCGCAAGCCUGAUCCAGCCAUACUGCGUGGGUGAAGAAGGCCUUCGGGUUGUAAAGCCCUUUUGUUGGGAAAGAAAAGCAGCAGGUUAAUACCCCGCUGUUCUGACGGUACCCAAAGAAUAAGCACCGGCUAACUUCGUG